GAUGAACGCUGGCGGCGUGCCUAAUACAUGCAAGUCGAGCGAAUGGAUUAAGAGCUUGCUCUUAUGAAGUUAGCGGCGGACGGGUGAGUAACACGUGGGUAACCUGCCCAUAAGACUGGGAUAACUCCGGGAAACCGGGGAUAAUACCGGAUAACAUUUUGAACCGCAUGGUUCGAAAUUGAAAGGAGGCUUCGGCUGUCACUUAUGGAUGGACCCGCGUCGCAUUAGCUAGUUGGUGAGGUAACGGCUCGCCAAGGCAACGAUGCUUCGCCGACCUGAGAGGGUGAUCGGCCACACUGGGACUGAGACACGGCCCAGACUCCUACGGGAGGCAGCAGUAGGGAAUCUUCCGCAAUGGACGAAAGUCUGACGGAGCAACGCCGCGUGAGUGAUGAAGGCUUUCGGGUCGUAAAACUCUGUUGUUAGGGAAGAACAAGUGCUAGUUGAAUAAGCUGGCACCUUGACGGUACCUAACCAGAAAGCCACGGCUAACUACGUGCCAGCCGCCGCCGUAA
Molecule: ribosomal RNA, 515 nt
Filed under: uncultured bacterium
Lineage: Bacteria
Description: partial 16S ribosomal RNA
Rfam family: Bacterial small subunit ribosomal RNA
Source: RNAcentral